AAAAGGUUAAAACUAGAGCUGUCAAGCGAUUAAAAUAUUUAAUCGUGAUUAAUCGCAUUAAUGUCAUAGUUAACUCACGAUUAAUCGCGAUUAAUCGCAAAUUAUUUUUCUAUGCUAAAUAUCCCUUGAUUUUUUUGUCCCAUAAUUCUUCUCAUUUUAAUUCUCUUAUCAACAUGGUGAAGUGCAUCGGCUUGUCUUGUGCAAAUGAUUUUUUAUUGAUAACAACAUUGGCAUAUACUGAUCAAAACAGGACGAUACAAAAAAAGAGCUUAUAGUGCAAUUAAACGACUGCUUUGAACAAAUGUCAUUUGAACAUAGCAGUCAGGCUACUGCUUCUUUGUUUUGAGCCUACUGCUUUUUUGUAAAUAAAAUAUUUGCGUUAAUCGCGCGAUAAUUUUUUUAACGCCGUUAAAAUUGGUUUGCGUUAACGCCGUUAAUAACGCGUUUAACUGACAGCUCUAGUUAAAACCAAUUUACUUGGUAAUUGUACAAGUUUAUUGUACACCGACCUUUCAAAGGUUUCCAUUUUAAUAGUAGGCCAUAUGAUGUUCUAUUCGUUUUUGGGGCUAUUUUUGAAUUGUUCUGAAAUGCCCUCUGGUGUUAAUCUGCAUUAACACCACUAACCCAAGGUCCUGAUUAGUCAGGUGCUGGGUAAAGAAAUCUGAGCUAAUUAGAGAGUUUGUGGUUUCAUUACCAAAUACUCUCCAAUACUUCAGAAUGAAUGCUGCAGUUAAAAGUGCUUUUGUUUAAACAAGACUUCAGAAUUUAGGGUGGGAAAAGAAAUCACAAUAGUCAUGCCUUGGUAAUCUGCUACUCUAAAAGGUGUCUGUAUGGCGUGACAGCUAUCUUGCGUAGCCUCUUCUCAGUGGGCUUGACUUGCAGUGAAUUUUGUGUCCCCAAAUGUAGCCAAUUUGCCCCCCAAAAUGGAAGUCCAUGUAUACAACUUUUAAACCUG
This is a long non-coding RNA of Gadus macrocephalus (Pacific cod), 955 nucleotides long. RefSeq lists it as uncharacterized. The transcript has 2 exons. The record is from RefSeq and is a predicted model, not a curated record. Lineage: Eukaryota; Metazoa; Chordata; Actinopteri; Gadiformes; Gadidae.